UGAUGGAAAAUGAGUAAUGUUCGUAGGCAAUUAGUAUACAUACAUAUUAAGCUAUGUUUAGGGUCAUCAUCAAACAAUUGGAACAAUUAAACACUUCGAAAUUUCCAUACACGUGGGCUUGCUAUAUUUUGUAGUAAUAAACUUGGAACUUGUUUCAAGCUGAGAUUUUGUUCAAAAUUGCUGCUCUGUUAGUCCCCAACUGAUCACACAAGUUCACUCAGUUUACUCAUCAAGCUAACGAACUAAACAAUGGUGCCAUGCCAUCAACACUAAACCGAACUCUACGAGGUGGCAAAACACUGACAUGACACACUAACGAAUAACCAUCCAACCCAUGUGACGAAGGUGAGCUCAAAACCAGGAACCUUCACCAACCCAGCAGCAACAGUCUACUGCAAGACAGCUCGAAAUUUGGUUGCAUCUCCAACUCGCCUGCUUUGGGGCGUCCGGCUCAACCCCACCACGCUUGGGCAAUUCACCGAACAGCUACCGCGCAGAGGUGAGGUGACUCUAUACCGUCUCAGCAACAGCCAACAAGGGGCGAUCCCACAAUCUAAUCCAAUCCCACACCCACCUCCCUCGUUCCCGUAGCUAUUGAACAUGCACCGCCAACGCACGCGAACCUCGCUAAUGGAAAGGAAUCAACGGCGAUGUAUACGCACGCCGGGCGCGCUCGGCGGAGGAGAGGACCGGAACGAACGUAGCGGCCACAGUGGAGGAGGCUUAGGAGGGCUACAGCUUUCCCACACGUGAGGCAGCGGCCGGUGCCCUGCCCAGCAGCUACCUCUCCAGCUGGCUUGGCGGAGGGAGGGGGAUAAGAGCAUCUCCAACCGUCUCUUUAAAUCUAACUCUCCAAAUGUCUAUUUAGCUAACUCUCCAUUUAAUUAGCAAGUCAAAUUUAUUAUUUACUCCAACAGUCUCUCUAUCUGUUCUCUCUAUUGUGAGUGUAUGAUAGUGGAAUCCACAUGUCAGCAUCACCUCUUUCUUCCUCAUUUUGUCUCUCUUUUUCCCGGAAGGACUACAUGGAGCCUCCAUCGCCGCGCGCAGGGCCUUCGGCGAGGGCUCCCCGGCCGUGGCCGCCGCAUGGAAGCCACUUCACCAACCCUGUCCCUCCCUCCCGCCACCGCCGCAUGCAAGCCAUCCUCGCCGUUGGUCCCGGGGGCGCCGCCGCUGCCAGGGCGCUCGUCGUCGCCGAUGCCACCAAGAAGGCCGUCGCCGUACUCAAGGUCCUACAACAGUGAAUGGCCGCCGUCGCCACCCCCGACGCCUGGCGCACCCACGACUGGCGGAAGGCCGUCGACUACCACGCCACCCUCCUCGCCACCCUCCUCGCCAACGGCAUCCUUUCCCCGACCUCCCGCGCCAUUUGCCUCGGCGCCGUGCAGGAGGCCCUCGCCAUGCGGGAGCUCAGCGUCUCCACCGCCGUCGCCGUCGCCAGGAAGCGCUCCCCGCCGCUCGCUAUCGCUGGGAACGACCGCCGCCUCCCCUUCCCGGACUCCUCCGUCGACUUCAUCUAAACGGCGGCGCGCUCGUGGCCGGCGUGCCCUCCGAUUCUCCCCCGGCCGAUGCAGCUGAGAGAGAGGAAGGAUGGCUGGCUGAGGCUGGGAGGAGAGCUGGGAGUGAUGGUGGGACCCACCUUUCGCUAGUGGAGGAGGCUGGCUACAUUUGGCUAGCCGGUGGAGCAAUUUGGCUAUCCGAAUGCCUUGGCCAUCCGAAUGGAGAAUCUGUUAGAGCUUGUUUUUUCUCUGUAAUAGCUAAAUUUUAACUUGGAGAGUCAAAUAGAGAUUCUGUUGAAGAUGAUAUAAGCCGUGGGAGUAGGUGGGCGGGUACAACGAAUGAGACGGACACGAAUACGACCUGUGUGGGGGUAAUGGCCGAUCAGGCAAUGGGAAGAGGCGUGGGCCCGCGA
Oryza sativa Japonica Group (Japanese rice) is the source of this 1909-nucleotide long non-coding RNA. RefSeq lists it as uncharacterized. The record is from RefSeq and is a predicted model, not a curated record. NCBI's taxonomy places the organism in Eukaryota, Viridiplantae, Streptophyta, Magnoliopsida, Poales, Poaceae.